Columba livia (rock pigeon) is the source of this 169-nucleotide long non-coding RNA. RefSeq lists it as uncharacterized. Lineage: Eukaryota; Metazoa; Chordata; Aves; Columbiformes; Columbidae. The transcript is spliced from 3 exons. The record is from RefSeq and is a predicted model, not a curated record.
GGAAGAUGUGCAGGACAAAGCACGAUCUCAAAGAGUUCAGAGAUAAUGAGUAUUUUUGAAGCCUGCUCUCAGUUGUAUCUCUUCUGAAAAUACCUCUGGGUUGUUCUUCAGCAAGGGCACUGCCUUUACAUUCAGCCAGAUGAGUUGCAACCAUCAACAGCACAUUGCC